CCUACUUAACUCAGUUGGUUAGAGUAUCCGUCUCAUACGCGGAAAUGCACUGGUUCAAAUCCAGUAGUAGG
RNAcentral lists this transfer RNA (71 nucleotides) under Prototheca zopfii. Its description in RNAcentral is "tRNA-Met". It matches the Rfam family "tRNA". From Rfam's summary of the family: Transfer RNA (tRNA) molecules are approximately 80 nucleotides in length. Their secondary structure includes four short double-helical elements and three loops (D, anti-codon, and T loops). RNAcentral also lists the same sequence under 1 other name. The record is from RNAcentral. Lineage: Eukaryota; Viridiplantae; Chlorophyta; Trebouxiophyceae; Chlorellales; Chlorellaceae.